This 393-nucleotide ribosomal RNA is filed under the name uncultured bacterium. RNAcentral's name for it is "partial 16S ribosomal RNA". It matches the Rfam family "Bacterial small subunit ribosomal RNA", at positions 523 to 918 of the family's 1533-position model. The record is from RNAcentral.
AUACGGAGGAUGCAAGCGUUAUCCGGAUUUAUUGGGUUUAAAGGGUGCGUAGGCUGUUCGGAAAGUCAGGGGUGAAAGCCCGGCGCCUAACGCCGGAACUGCCUUUGAUAUUUCCGAGCGGGAUUACGGAUGCCGUGGGGGGAAUGAGUAGGGUAGCGGUGAAAUGCAUAGAUAUUACUCAGAACACCGAUUGCGAAGGCAUCUCACGAAUCCGUCAUUGACGCUGAGGCACGAAAGCGUGGGGAUCAAACAGGAUUAGAUACCCUGGUAGUCCACGCAGUAAACGAUGAUGACUAACCGUCGGCGAUACACAGUCGGUGGCCAAGCGAAAGCGAUAAGUCAUCCACCUGGGGAGUACGUUCGCAAGAAUGAAACUCAAAUGAAUUGGCGGGG